Molecule: non-coding RNA, 211 nt
Organism: Pelobates cultripes (western spadefoot toad)
Lineage: Eukaryota; Metazoa; Chordata; Amphibia; Anura; Pelobatidae
Source: the annotation of a GenBank genome assembly
GUUUAUAAAGCACUAGCCCAUUCUUUUCAGUGCGUUCAUCUAAAGUGGACUUCCUCAAAUGUUCAUCCACGCAUGCAUGCCUUCUUAGUUGCAUCCAAUAUCACUACAUGGUCAUGUCUGACCUAUUUUCCGGAAUGCAUUUCAAUGGCAUCUUUGUUAUUCCAUAUGUUUUAUAAGUCCUUUAUAGAUUUGGGCAAAAACUGUUAGAAAA